Molecule: ribosomal RNA, 420 nt
Filed under: uncultured bacterium
Lineage: Bacteria
Description: bacterial SSU rRNA
Rfam family: Bacterial small subunit ribosomal RNA
Source: RNAcentral
UUGUUCGCAAUGGGCGCAAGCCCGACGACGCAACGCCGCGUGGAGGAUGAAGAUUUUCGGAUCGUAAACUCCUGUCGAGUGGGAAGAACAGCUUUUGGAUAAACAUUCCGGAAGCCUGACGGUACCACUAAAGGAAGCCCCGGCUAACUCCGUGCCAGCAGCCGCGGUAAUACGUAGGAAGCAAGCGUUGUCCGGAAUUACUGGGCGUAAAGCGCGUGUAGGCGGAUAGGCAAGUCUGCUGUGAAAGCUCUCGGCUUAACCGGGAGAGGUCGGUGGAAACUGCCUGACUAGAGGACGGUAGAGGGGGGUGGAAUUCCCGGUGUAGUGGUGAAAUGCGUAGAGAUCGGGAGGAACACCAGUGGCGAAGGCGGCCCCCUGGGCCGCUCCUGACGCUGAGACGCGAAAGCGCGGGGAGCGAAC